AGUGAACGCUGGCGGUAGGCCUAACACAUGCAAGUCGAACGGCAGCACAGUAAGAGCUUGCUCUUACGGGUGGCGAGUGGCGGACGGGUGAGGAAUACAUCGGAAUCUACCUUUUCGUGGGGGAUAACGUAGGGAAACUUACGCUAAUACCGCAUACGACCUACGGGUGAAAUCAGGGGAUCUUCGGACCUUGCGCGAUUGAAUGAGCCGAUGUCGGAUUAGCUAGUUGGCGGGGUAAAGGCCCACCAAGGCGACGAUCCGUAGCUGGUCUGAGAGGAUGAUCAGCCACACUGGAACUGAGACACGGUCCAGACUCCUACGGGAGGCAGCAGUGGGGAAUAUUGGACAAUGGGCGCAAGCCUGAUCCAGCCAUACCGCGUGGGUGAAGAAGGCCUUCGGGUUGUAAAGCCCUGUUGUUGGGAAAGAAAAGCAGCAGGUUAAUACCCCGCUGUUCUGACGGUACCCAAAGAAUAAGCACCGGCUAACUUCGUG
Molecule: ribosomal RNA, 492 nt
Filed under: uncultured bacterium
Lineage: Bacteria
Description: partial 16S ribosomal RNA
Rfam family: Bacterial small subunit ribosomal RNA
Source: RNAcentral